RNAcentral lists this long non-coding RNA (2254 nucleotides) under Nicotiana tabacum (common tobacco). RNAcentral describes it as "long non-coding RNA (NTAB_LNC002129)". Lineage: Eukaryota; Viridiplantae; Streptophyta; Magnoliopsida; Solanales; Solanaceae. The record is from RNAcentral.
GGGCCCAAAAGUGAGUGAGUCCAAAUGACUCCAAACCCAUGCACCAAUUUAACCUUACCCUAACCAUUUCGAGUUAAGAUUUUGGGCUUCCGAAUGUGCCCAGCACACACAAUUUCAGCAAAUCACAUUUGUAGUACUGUAAAAAAACUUAAUUUGGUAUAGGAAUUUUAAACUAAUAGCUACAUAUCCAUAUGAAUCAAUGAUUGGAGACAAUAUUAAUAUCCCUCCCCCUGAUGAUUAUCACAACAUAAUCAGUUGUAGUGGAACUAAGAAGGAACAACGAAAUAAUAGUAAAAAUGAAUUAUUAUAACAUUGUUCAUCCUAAUAAAAUCAAUACUACAACUUCUUUUACAGCUUAAUCUGACUUUACCACACGUAAACAUAAUUACUCCAAGCUCGAAAACUCCUGGGUUGAAUAUCAACAAUUAUCAUGGAAGACAUUUGUUAUCAGAAAUGAGUAGGCUACUGCAAUUUUAGCAUGUUAUAUGGAAUUUUAGGCAUACAAUGAGUAGGAAAAUUAAAAAAUAACACAGUAUAUUCAACUUAUCACUCAAAAAUAGAUUUCAAACAAUAAUCAAACAAACACAACUUGAGGGAUAUCAAAUAAAUUAGCAACAAUGAAAAUCAAAGCAAUUAACAACUUUGUGCUUCAAAUAAACCACAUUUCCAUUAUUUGAUCGAGAAUGGUACCUGGCUUACAACAUAAUAGACAAAAAGAAAAUAAAUCUCUGAAGUUGGGAAGGAGUAACAUGAAGAACAAACAUAGUAGCAGAAAACAACAUACAACAGCUUUAAACCUUACUCCCAAAACUCCAAAAUAGAACCAAUGGAACUAUGUUGAUGAAUUCUGAUUCCUACUUUCAGAAUAUUUUUUGUGAGAAGAAACAAGUGAGGGUGAGUGUUGAUUCUCUGAUAAUAUAGAAAAAAUAAAAGUGUAUGCAGAUUGAGAGUAAUGAAAAAUUCUCCGAAGAAAUGUCAAAAUCUGUGUGUGUGUUGUGUAGAGAGUCAAGGAAUAUAUAGGAGACUGUCAACCGUAAAAAUAGAACAAAAAUAUCUUUUUCAAUCGAUUUUUAUACAAAUGUCACUUUUUAGUUAUUCUUUCAUCCUUUUUAAACCUUAGUAUUUUUUGUAUUCACUCUUCAGCCCUAACACCUGGCCACCUUAUUUUCUUUCUUUGCAAAUUGGCCCCUCCUAGAAGCUUCCUAAAUAACUAAACAAGAUUCCCUACUUUUGGUAUACCCUUUAGCCCCUUCAAUUCCUGUAUUUACUAUUUAUUUCAGAUUUAAAACCUAAAAGCAGACUAAGACUUAGAUCCUAGUUAAAACGAGCAAAUGUUAAACAUAACUGAUUAAGAAAUUACUAAUUAAUUAAGACAGAACAUUGGCAUUUAAUUAAUUUCUAAGAAAACAAAAUGCGAUUUAAACUACCAAUUUUGCCUAAACAUCAUGAUUAAGGACUAACAAAAUCACUGAUAACCUACCUCUAAAUAAAUUUGAGUCUUGACCAAAUGAAUUUCAAAAUACAAAUACAACUUGCCAAUAUUAACAAUUUAAAUCAAUCAACCAAAUGAGUUCAAUCGAAGAAAUUAAUCCUAAGUAAAACCUAAACAAAGUGAUAGAUCCACGAAAAACAAAAAUUUCUAACCUAAUGCAAAUAUCUCAAAAGUGGGGAGAGGAUGAAAAAGAGAUUACCUAUUGAAGCUCUAUUAAUAUGGUAGAGAAAACCUUCCAGAAGAAUUGGCCGGCCAACAGCCAGCUAACUAAAACGUGACUUCCGAGAAAUGGGAUGAAACUCACAUCAGUGGACAUCUCUUGUAAAGAGCUUUCUGCUAAUGUGAGUCUCAACCAUAAAAGAGGACGGAUUGUUUGAGGUCAUGAAGACAGAUUGCAUGGCAGCUAGGGUUUGGUUUUGAGAUUUGAAAUUUGAGAGAUUAAGUGAGUUUUUAGCAAAAAUUAACAGUGGGAUAGUCAUGGGGAGAUGAUAGAGAGAUUGUAUGGUGGGAGUUUGGGUGGAUUUGGGGUUGUGCACUGGUAGGGGUGGUGGUAGGCAGCUAGGGUUUGAAAGGAUUUGACAAAAGAGGAAAUUAAGGGCUUCUAUAGGGUUAGGGGUAUUCGGACAGAUAUAAGGGAAGGGGGAGGUCAGUUCUGGACCGUAGGAUCAGAUUAGAUGAAUGGCCAUGAUCAUCUGUGACCAAAACGGCGUCAUGUGGAUUUGGAAGGGGUCUAGGCCAGGUAAUGGGAGUGGGUUGGACGGG